This 465-nucleotide unclassified non-coding RNA is filed under the name Hevea brasiliensis (rubber tree). Lineage: Eukaryota; Viridiplantae; Streptophyta; Magnoliopsida; Malpighiales; Euphorbiaceae. The record is from RNAcentral.
UAGAAUAGAGACAUUUAAUGAUGAUCUUAGCUUUAACAAACAAUAAGGGAGAAAAUUUAUAGAAGAAAGGAAAAUUUUGAGUGAAAUUUUGAGAGAAUACGAGAGAUAUGGCAGCUGUGGAAAAGAGAAUACGCAAACAAAGAAAAAAGAGCAAAAUAACACUGUUUCCACGUGAUUGCAGCAGACCGUUACCGUUGCAUAACGGUAAAUAAUGGCUAUUUUCGUUGCAUAACGGUUGUAACGGCCGUUACUACGGCAAUUCCAAAUUGCUUGUAAAUAAUGGUGUAUUACGUAACGGGUCCUUUCAAAACUUAUAAAUAAUGGCCAUUACGUAGGCAGUGUUGUUAAGGGCGCCAGAGGCGAGGCUACCCUCUAGUGCCUCGCCUGGCUUUGAAGAGGCGGCCGCCCCAGCAAUGAAGGCAAGCGUCAUUGAGGCAUUGAGGCGGCGCUUUUUAAAAGGAGCGG